AACUCUCAGCAACGGAUAUCUCAGCUCUCGCAUCCAUGAAGAACGUAGCGAAAUGCGAUACCUGGUGUGAAUUGCAGAAUCCCGCGAACCAUCGAGUCUUUGAACGCAAGUUGCGCCCGAGGCCACUCGGCCGAGGGCACGCCUGCCUGGGCGUCA
This 156-nucleotide ribosomal RNA is filed under the name Triticum aestivum (bread wheat). RNAcentral describes it as "rRNA 5_8S_rRNA". It matches the Rfam family "5.8S ribosomal RNA". From Rfam's summary of the family: 5.8S ribosomal RNA (5.8S rRNA) is a component of the large subunit of the eukaryotic ribosome. It is transcribed by RNA polymerase I as part of the 45S precursor that also contains 18S and 28S rRNA. Functionally, it is thought that 5.8S rRNA may be involved in ribosome translocation. The record is from RNAcentral. Lineage: Eukaryota; Viridiplantae; Streptophyta; Magnoliopsida; Poales; Poaceae.